AACACCCAUCUCCAUAUUCCGGGUUUACCGCCGGUACCGGCCUCUGACAUGGCGAAGCCGAUACUUGACAGGGAGGAUAAGGCUUAUGAGUUAUUCGUAAACAUGUCCAUACACUUGCCAAGAUCAGCUGGAAUCAUUGUGAACACCUUUGAAGCGCUGGAACCAAGAGCUGUCAAAACGAUUUUGGAUGGGCUCUGCGUCCUUGACGGUCCAACCUCACCAAUAUUCUGCAUAGGACCAUUAAUUGCAGCUGAUGAUCGAUCCGGUGGUGGUGGUGGUGGAGGGGGAGGUAGCGGCAUUCCUGAGUGUUUGACAUGGCUCGAAUCUCAACCAAAACGCAGCGUUUUGUUUUUGUGUUUUGGGAGCUUGGGUUUGUUCUCAGAAGAACAGUUGAAGGAGAUAGCGGUUGGGUUAGAGAGGAGUGGGCAGAGGUUCUUGUGGGUAGUGCGGAGCCCACCCUCCAAGGACCCGAGCAGGCGUUUUUUAGCACCACCGGAACCGGAUUUGAAUUCCCUUCUCCCAGAUGGGUUUUUGGAUCGAACCAAGGAGAGGGGCCUAAUGGUGAAGUCGUGGGCUCCUCAGGUGGCCGUCUUGAAUCACGCCUCUGUUGGAGGGUUUGUGACUCACUGUGGGUGGAACUCAGUGCUUGAAGCAGUGUGUGCAGGCGUGCCAAUGGUGGCAUGGCCACUAUAUGCCGAGCAAAGGUUUAACAGGGUGGUGCUGGUGGAGGAAAUGAAGCUAGCCUUUCCAAUGGAAGAGUCGGAAGAAGGGUUUGUUACUGCAACUGAGGUUGAGAAGCGAGUUAGAGAGUUGAUGGAGUCGGAGGAAGGAAACACCCUUCGUCUCCGGAUCAUGGCCAUGAAAGAAGCUGCUGAGACUGCAAUGAGCGACGGUGGAUCAUCCCGCACCGCAUUAACAAAACUGGUCAAGUCAUGGAGGCCAGGAUGAGAGAAAGAGAAGGCUGUUCGUCUUAGCUUUCAAUUUCUUCCAAAUCCCGAUUAUUCGGUACCACUUCAACCUAGCAAUUGUUUCAUUAGCAAAAUUUUGCAUUUCUUUUAGCAGUUCAAUUUUAUUGUGUUCUUGGGUAUUAAGUUUGUUAACCUAAUAGAAAAUAAAUAAAUAAAAAAAGACAAAUGAUUAAUAUCCCAUGAAGUGCACCAACAUUAAUAAUCUAAUAAUCAAAAUGAAUGAAAGGAAUUAUAGUGGUGAAGUUCUAAUAAAAAAACUCUUUCAAUUGAGGCUGCAUUUUAUAAAAAUAAAAAAUAAAACUUUAAACAUAAAAGGAUUAUAUAUAAUAGGGUAAAUUCAUCAAUUAUCACAUAAAAAAAUUAAAAAAAAAAAAUUGAAAAAGUGCUACCCCUUCCACCUUUACAAAUUGACCGGACAACUCAAUUCAUAUAAGCUUAUGGGGAACUCAACCCUUGCGAGCUGGUCGAACAACUUGAUCCUUGCGAGCUAUCCGAGCAGCUUGAUCCUUGGCAUUUGAACAAAAUACGAUAAUAUUGAUUCAAACUUCAUAAUCUAACAAGGUUUAAUUCCUUUCUUAACUAUUUCAUUUUUAUCACAAAUUUGGAUGAAUUUAAUUAUUCAAUACAAACACCUUUGGACCAUUUCUUGCAGUUUUCAAUGAUAAUCCAUAAAAACUUAGAUAUCAUGCUUGUAAAGUCAUGAACACGGAAGCAAAAAUAUCAUCUAUUAUUAGCAGAUAAAGUCCUAGGAGGGCCACACAUUCUUGAAAUCCAUACGUUUUUCCAAUGGAUACACCCUUCAGUGUACAGAUUUUUUUUUUGCAUGCGUGAAUAAAUGACAAUCCCGUUGUCACUUUGUUUUGAUCUAACAAUUUCAAAAUAUAUAUAUGUUCCUUUCUUUUACAUGUCAUUUUCCUUCUACCUUCUAAAAGUUGUCUUCUAGAGUCUCACUUAAAGUUGUUUUGGACUCUAUCGUGUGAUUGUUACAGCCAAUAUCUAGACAUUGAACAUCUUGUGAUUGAUUCUUCUCAAGUAUUCAUAUAAUAAAUACAAUUAGAAAUAUUAAUUCCCCCCUUUUCCAAUGUUGGGAUGGUACUCAUCUUUCACACCAUUAUUAGAACUGUCCCACCUUGAAGGUUUAUUAAAAAUAAAGCUUCCUAUUUGUGAUUAUCUUUAUUGAAAAUAUUAGAGUGACACCCCUAACCCAAGUAAUUAAGGCUAAGGGGACAAUGGUCAUUUCAUAGAUGGGCCCAAAGGUCUAACAUGUGAAUAAUGUCAGAAAUGUGAUAUAGUCAUUCAUUAAUGUUGGCCGGUUGCUUGUAACAUAUCAAAAUAGUAAUCAAAGAUUAUUAAAUCAACUUUGAAAAUGAAACAAAGUCCCACAUGCACGAGUAUUUAAAACAUUUUUCAAUUAGAUUUAAUUGAAAUAAAGUAAACUAACUAGCUAGUGGUAAAUAAUGGAGCAAAUUUUUUUUUUUGGUUUUUGCCUAUGAUGAGACGAGUUUGGAAGAAGUAUAAGUAGGUUAAGGAUGUGUUUGAGAUUUUUUUGAAACUUAAGACGGGUUGGACUAUUGCUUUGUCCCUCGCCACCAUAUCCCGAUUAUAUAUAGUUAUAAAAAUAAUUUAAUUUAAUUUAUUUUUUCAUUUUCCCCUUUUGUAACACAUAAAAUUUGCCAUAUUUUUUUGUUAAAAUUAAAAAAAAAAUUAUUUAUAAUUUUUUUUUAUAUAAUUAAAGUUUUUCAAAAAAUUAAAUUUUAAAAAUAAUAUAUAUAUAUAUAUAUAUAUAUAUAUGUGGUUUGAAAUUUCAUUGACUAUUUCCCUUAUUCCGAAUAAGAAAAAAGUGACUAAAAUUAAUAAAUGAAAAUAAUAUAAAAGAUAUUUAAUGAAAUUUCAAAUUUAUAAGAAUUACAUAUAUUUAAUCAAAAUUUCAAAGGAGAUGAAUAAAAUUAACUCAAUUAGAAAUCAAUUACUUAUAUCUAUUUACUUUAUUAUCUAAUUCAUUAAUCACCACUUAUGAAUAUAAUCAUCACUUAUAAUUACCAAAAUAUUAUGGUACUUAACUUCAUACCAAGGCCCAACAAAGUAAGGGGAACAUAAGUACCUAUAAUCCCUUAUGAAUUUCUAAUAGUAUAUAUUCUAGAGGUCCAAAAUUCCAACCAAAUUUAAUAGCAUUCAAUUUCCAUCUUAGAUUUUGGCAAGGCUUACAUCAAGAUUAAAACCAACAUCCAAUAUUUUUGAAUCAUGCAUUUUUUUAAAAAGAUUUAAGGCGUAUUUUUUAUCAUAAUUUUAGAAAGUAUUUCUAACAUUUUUAAUACUUAAAAAAUAAAAUUUUAUUUUCUAAAAUCACUAUCAAAUACACUUUUAAUUUAUGUUAUCACACAUAUCUCGGGUUAGGAUAGUAAUAAGCCCUGAUUUCAAAUUACCUCUUCGAGGGGCAUGGUUAUUUUUCAUUUUUCCAACUUUACCAUAUGACCAUACUAGUGUUUGAACCUCCUCUUCCACCAAAAAUUUAUUAGGGUAGUUGCCUUGUUCCUAUCGCUGCUUUAUAUUUUCGUCCUUUUAUGAUAGGUUUAACCUCCUCAAAAGUUUGUUCAAUCAUUUUCACAUGCUUCAAGCUAUCAAGCACUUGCGUUUUGUAUGGCAGCAGAAACAUGUUCACGUUUUGCAGGCAAAGUUCUUAAAACUUGCUUAUCAACAGUUUCUCUUCUUGAAUUGUGUGUCCACAACUUCAUAUUAACAAAAUCUCCAUAAAUUUUGAAGUUCUAUUGAAAUUAUUUUAUCACUUCUCAUGGGAUUCUUAAUUUUUAUAAUACUUGCUAUGCAACUUUAGCUUUCUAAUCCCCAAAAAAUUCUAGGAAGACUAACUUAAUUUGCUUAGCCUGUUGAAUAUAUAUACAAGUAUAAAGAGACAUAACAAGAGCAACUUUGCUUAUGCUUUGUUAAACAUAUAAUAAGCGUAAUAAAGAGAGACAAGAUUUUCUUGAGCAAGAAUCACAAGGCUUGCAAUGAAGAAGUCCAUCUUUUGACACUUGGUUUUCACAAGAUACCAAUGGGCCUUUGGUGUACACUUAAGGUGUCUCUCAACGACUCACGAUUACUUACUACUUACAGUUGGCCUAUAAUAAAUAUAUUUUCGAAAAGAGUAGAUAUAGAUUUAAUGAACAUUAGAUGAUAUUAAAAACUUGUGGAAUAAUAUUUCCAUGUGAUUAUCAAGUGUUAGGUACAUGAUAAAUAAGUUUUAAGAAGCCUGUUUUGGCAUUAAUCUUAUUAAUUUAAGAACUUAUUUGACAGUAAUUUUAAAAAAUAUUUUUUAACAUUUUUAACAAUUAAAUUUUUUUAAUAAUUCAAGUAUUAGAAAUGCUAAAAAUUAUUUUCUAAAUUUACUAUCAAAUGUGCUCUACAUUUGUUAUUAUGAUUAAGUACUAGUGGUUGUAAGUACAUAGUUAACUAUCCAUAUGUUAGUCCGAUCUACACUAAUUAAAGAGAAUCUAUAUGUUUUUUGAUUUGAAAGUUUAAAAUAAAAUAGAAAAUAAGAAUAAUUUAAUUAAAUUUUUAUUCACUUUCAAGAAAAAAAAAUAGUAUUUAUAUAUGUGAUUAAAAGGUAAUACUCUAAUAUUACUUUUGACUUAAAAAUGUAUUAAAUAAAAAAUAUUUUUAAUCGAAUGAUAUGAAUCGAGAUAUAGAAAAAUGAGUUCUCAUUCUACUUAUAUUUCUAAAUAAGACCAUGAAAACAUAUUUUUUCUAUCUUAAAUAGAAAAUAAGCGAAUUAUAAUUUUAAUAAACCAAUCUUUCUUUUAGGGUUCUAGGAUAUUUUGACGUAUGAUUAGGGAGAUAUUUUGUGUUUAAAUUAGGGGAGUUUAAACCAUGUUUUUAAAGUAAGGUUUUACUUUAAAAACAAAACAAAAAUCCCCCCCAAAAAAAAAUCAUGUUUGUCCAUCAAACAUUAUAUAUGAUUUUUAAUUUUUCUUUAAAAAACAUCUUUUAAAUUAUAAAUACUAUUAAAAAGACUCUAAAUUACGUGAGAUAUAGGCCAUUUGAAAGCGACAAGAAAAAAAAAACAAAAAACAAAAAACAAAAACCAAAUAAUAAUAAUGUUUGUCCAUAAAACAUUAUAUACGAUUUUUCGCCUUUUUAAGAAUAUUCUCUACAUUUUAUCAAAUGUUUAUUUAAUUUUUUUUAUAAAAAAUAUCUUUUAAAGUAGAUUUUCUUUUUUUUUUUAAAAAAAAAAAAACUAUUAAAAAGACUUUAAGUUGCAUCAGACGUUUAAAAUGAAGUUAGGUUGUUUGAAAGAGAAAAAUAAAACAAAAAAUCAAAAAGCAAAAGACAAAAAAUAAUAAUAAUAAUAAUGUUUGCCCAUAAAACAUUAUCUAUGAUUUUUCGAUUUUUUAAGAAUGUUCUUUACAUUUUAUCAAAUGUCUAAUUUUUAUUUUUUUAAAUUAGAAAUACUUUUAAAAAAAACACAGUUAAAAAUCUUCUAAAUUGUGUUAGACAUUUGAAACAAAGGCAGACAGUUUGAAAAAGACAAAGAAACAAAACAAAAACCGUGUUUGUGCAUAAAACAUUAUAUAUAAUUUUUCAAUUUUUUUAGAAUGUUCUCUACAUUUUAUCAAAUGUUUUUUUUUAAACAUCUUUUAAAUUAGAAAUACUUUAAAAAAAAAAAUACUAUUAAGAAGACUUUAAGUUGCUUUAGAAAUUUAAAAUGAAGAUAGGUUGUUUGAAAGAGAGAAAAAAAACAAAACAAAACAAAAAGCAAUAAUAAUAAUAAUAAUAAUAAUAAUAAUAAUGUUUGCCCAUAAAACAAUAUAUAUGAUUUUUCAAAUUUUUAAGAAUGUUUUCUACAUUUCGUCAAAUGUCUAAUUUUUUUUUUAUAAAAAAAACGUAUUUUAAAUUACAAAUACUUUAAAAAAAAUACUAUUAAAAAGAGUUUAAAUUGUGUUAGACAUUUGGAACAAAGGCACACCGGUUGAAAGAGACAACAAAACAAAACAUAAGACUAUGUUUGGUUCCCGGAAAGUACAAAGGAAAGAAAAAAAAUGCUAAGGAAAAUGAUUUUCUCAUGUUUGGUUGUCCUAUGAAAAAUAUCAAAGAAAAUCAAAUAUAAUUAAAACUAAUUAAAAACUUAUAUAUUUUUAAAUUAUUUAAUCUUUAUAUUGAUGAGUUAAAAUAAAUAAAAUGAGUUUGAAGUAACAAAAAAAAUAAUUUAUCAACUUUUAAUAUAUUUUUUUUAUUUUUCUUCACUUUUUCUUUCCUUCUACUUUUCCUUUGUAUUUUCUUUCCCUCGUAUUUUCCCUCAAAUUUUCCGGGAACCAAACAUAGCCUAAAGAAAACAAAAAUGAUGUUUGUCCAUAAAACAUUAUAUAUGAUUUUAAAAUCUUUUAAAAAUGUUCUCAACGUUUUAUCAAAUGUGUAUUUUCUUUUUUAAAAAACAUCUUUUAAAUUAGAAAUGCAUUUAAAAAAAAAAACUAUUAAAAAGACUUUAAGUUGCAUUGUACAUUUGAAAUGAAGGUAGGUUGUUUGAAAGAGAAAAAAACCAAGAAAGAAAAAAAAACCAAAAGAAAAAACAAAAAGCAAAAAAUAAAAAAAAAUAAAAUGUGUUUGUACAUAAAACAUUAUAUAUUAUUUUUCAAUUUUUAAGAAUGUUUUCUACAUUUGAUAAAAUGUCAACUUUUUUUUAAAUAUGUUUUAAAUUAUAAAUACUUUUAAAAAAAAUUAUUAAAAAGGCCCUAAGAAUGUGUUUAAAUAAUGUUUUUUGUGAAGUGUUUUUAAUAAAAAUAUAUUUUUUCAAGAACCAUUAUAAAUGGUUUUCCAACUUGUAAAAAGUGUUUUCUAAAUAUUUCAACUAAAACAUUUUUUUAAAACAUAGAAAAACGACCUCUCAAAAUUCCUUCGUAAUUAUUGGAAGAAGCCUAUAGGAUCCGAAAUUGUCCAUGUCGUCCUCCAUUUUGCUUGGGUUGCACAUGGUUUGCUCUGCAUCUUUUCUUAUGCAUUCCAAGCAUCCAUCGAUUGACCAUUAGAUGGGAAAUAAUUGAAGUCUAAAACUACCCGUCUUCCUUUUCCACCAUCCUCUCUCAAACCUGUCCUACCAUUCUCUUUCACAGUGGUGCUAACAGUUGAAAUCUCAACCUUAAAUCAUUAUAUAUUUUUUGAUGAUUGACUUCUCCCCCUUGUCCUUUUGCUUUCUGCACUAUUUAACAAUGAAGAGACUGAUCCUUAAACAGUUAAACCUCUCUCCCUCUCAGUCUAAGCAAUGGAGAGUGUUGUCUUGUAUCCAUCACCAGGGAUGGGUCACCUCAUCUCAAUGGUGGAGCUUGGAAAGCUUAUACUGAAACACCAUCCUUCAUUCUCCAUCACCAUAUUCAUUGUCACUCCACCUUACAACACUGGCUCUACUGCUCCUUAUCUCGCCCGCGUCUCCUCCACCAUUCCUUCCUUCACUUUCCACCACCUCCCCACCAUUUCUCUCCCUCUCGAUUCUUUUUCCUCUCCCAACCAUGAAACCCUUGCUUUCGAGCUCCUCCGCCUCAACAACCCUAACGUCCACCAGGCCCUUGUGUCCAUCUCCAACAAUUCCUCCGUCCGUGCCCUAAUCGUUGAUUCCUUCUGUACAACCGCGCUUUCUGUGGCUGCUCAACUCAACAUUCCAUGCUACUAUUUCUUCACUUCUGGCGCCUGCUGCCUCGCUUCCUACCUUUACCUCCCUUUCAUUCACCAGCAGACUACCAAAAGCUUUAAAGACCUCAACACCCAUCUGCAUAUUCCGGGUUUACCGCCGGUACCGGCCUCUGACAUGGCGAAACCGAUACUUGACAGAGAGGAUAAGGCUUAUGAGUUCUUCCUAAACAUGUUCAUACACUUGCCAAGAUCAGCUGGAAUCAUUGUGAACACCUUUGAAGCUCUGGAACCAAGAGCUGUCAAAACGAUUUUGGAUGGGCUCUGCGUCCUUGACGGUCCAACCUCACCAAUAUUCUGCAUAGGACCAUUAAUUGCAACUGAUGAUCGAUCCGGUGGCGGUGGAGGGGGAGGUGGCGGCAUUCCCGAGUGUU
RNAcentral lists this long non-coding RNA (8011 nucleotides) under Vitis vinifera (wine grape). RNAcentral's name for it is "long non-coding RNA (VVIN_LNC005529)". Lineage: Eukaryota; Viridiplantae; Streptophyta; Magnoliopsida; Vitales; Vitaceae. The record is from RNAcentral.